CCAGCAUGUGCAGGCGUGGAGGCUGCGAGGUGCACACCUGAUUCCUCCUCUCCUGGAAACACAGGUUGUUCGCUCAUGCUGACCGAGCCAGCUGCUGUGUUACGAGCUGUCCUGUGGAAAGGCCCAUGUGGCCAGGGUGGUCUCUGGUGGACAGCCAGUGAGGAACAGAACCCCGCCAGCCACCACCUGAGUGAGUGUGGAAACAAAAGCUUUCUUACUGAAGCCUGAACCAGCCCUGGCCAAUCCCUUGAUCCCAGGCUGUGGGACCCAGCCUGAGCCACACCCAAAUUCCCGACCUGCAGACCCCGCUGAGAUGUCUCCUGGAAGAGAGACAGCGAUGCC
Neogale vison (American mink) is the source of this 342-nucleotide long non-coding RNA. RefSeq lists it as uncharacterized. The record is from RefSeq and is a predicted model, not a curated record. Lineage: Eukaryota; Metazoa; Chordata; Mammalia; Carnivora; Mustelidae. The transcript has 3 exons.